UACAGAGGGUGCGAGCGUUGUUCGGAAUCAUUGGGCGUAAAGGGCGUGUAGGCGGUUUGUUAAGUCAUGUGUGAAAUCCCUCGGCUCAACCGGGGAACGACGCAUGAAACUGGCAAGCUAGAGUACCAAAGAGGAAAAUGGAAUUCCCGAUAUAGCGAUAAAAUACGUAGAUAUCGGAAGGAACACCUGUGGCGAAGGCGACCCCCUGGUUGGAUACUGACGCUGAGACGCGAAAGCGUGGGGAGCAAAC
RNAcentral lists this ribosomal RNA (250 nucleotides) under uncultured bacterium. RNAcentral's name for it is "partial 16S ribosomal RNA". It matches the Rfam family "Bacterial small subunit ribosomal RNA", at positions 524 to 773 of the family's 1533-position model. The record is from RNAcentral.